AUUUUUAUAAGUAUAAUCUGCUCAAUGAAUUUUAAAUAGCCGCAAAUUUAACUGUGUUAAGGUAGCAUAAUCACUUACCUUUUAAUUAAAGGUUUGCAUGAAAGAUUGAACAAUUAAAUUUCUUUUUUAUAAGUAUUUGUUAAACCUAAAUUAAAAAUAAAAAUGUUUUUAUAAAAUAAAUAGACGAUAAGACCCUAUUGAACUUCACUUCAGUUUAGCUGGGGAAGCUAAUUAAAUAUAAUUUUAAUAAAUAUCUUUAAAAUAUAUUUCUAAUAAAAUUAACUUAAACAAGUUACCAUAGGGAUAACAGCGUGAUAUAAUUUUAAAGAUCAUAUUAAAAAUUAAGCUUACGACCUCGAUGUUGAAUUAGAAUUUCUUAAAGAUGCAAUAAUCUUAAAAGAAGGUCUGUUCGACCUUUAAAAUUCU
This 426-nucleotide ribosomal RNA is filed under the name Oedothorax gibbosus. RNAcentral describes it as "partial 16S ribosomal RNA". The stretch from base 183 to 426 matches the Rfam family "Bacterial large subunit ribosomal RNA", at positions 2079 to 2597 of the family's 2925-position model. Lineage: Eukaryota; Metazoa; Arthropoda; Arachnida; Araneae; Linyphiidae. The record is from RNAcentral.